This 497-nucleotide ribosomal RNA is filed under the name uncultured bacterium. RNAcentral's name for it is "partial 16S ribosomal RNA". It matches the Rfam family "Bacterial small subunit ribosomal RNA", at positions 28 to 507 of the family's 1533-position model. The record is from RNAcentral.
GAUGAACGCUGGCGGCUUGCCUAAUACAUGCAAGUCGAGCGAACGGACGAGAAGCUUGCUUCUCUGAUGUUAGCGGCUGACGGGUGAGUAACACGUGGAUAACCUACCUAUAAUACUGGGAUAACUUCGGGAAACCGGAGCUAAUACCGGAUAAUAUUUUGAACCGCAUUGUUCAAAAGUUAAAGACGGUCUUGCUGUCACUUAUAGAUGCAUCCGCGCUGCAUUAGCUAGUUGGUAAGGUAACGUCUUACCAAGGCAACGAUGCAUAGCCGACCUGAGAGGGUGAUCGGCCACACUGGAACUGAGACACGGUCCAGACUCCUACGGGAGGCAGCAGUAGGGAAUCUUCCGCAAUGGGCGAAAGCCUGACGGAGCAACGCCGCGUGAGUGAUGAAGGUCUUCGGAUCGUAAAACUCUGUUAUUAGGGAAGAACAUAUGUGUAAGUAACUGUGCACAUCUUGACGGUACCUAAUCAGAAAGCCACGGCUAACUACGUG